RNAcentral lists this ribosomal RNA (539 nucleotides) under Escherichia coli. RNAcentral's name for it is "bacterial SSU rRNA". It matches the Rfam family "Bacterial small subunit ribosomal RNA", at positions 993 to 1532 of the family's 1533-position model. The record is from RNAcentral. Lineage: Bacteria; Pseudomonadati; Pseudomonadota; Gammaproteobacteria; Enterobacterales; Enterobacteriaceae.
GAAGUUUUCAGAGAUGAGAAUGUGCCUUCGGGAGCCGUGAGACAGGUGCUGCAUGGCUGUCGUCAGCUCGUGUUGUGAAAUGUUGGGUUAAGUCCCGCAACGAGCGCAACCCUUAUCCUUUGUUGCCAGCGGUCCGGCCGGGAACUCAAAGGAGACUGCCAGUGAUAAACUGGAGGAAGGUGGGGAUGACGUCAAGUCAUCAUGGCCCUUACGACCAGGGCUACACACGUGCUACAAUGGCGCAUACAAAGAGAAGCGACCUCGCGAGAGCAAGCGGACCUCAUAAAGUGCGUCGUAGUCCGGAUUGGAGUCUGCAACUCGACUCCAUGAAGUCGGAAUCGCUAGUAAUCGUGGAUCAGAAUGCCACGGUGAAUACGUUCCCGGGCCUUGUACACACCGCCCGUCACACCAUGGGAGUGGGUUGCAAAAGAAGUAGGUAGCUUAACCUUCGGGAGGGCGCUUACCACUUUGUGAUUCAUGACUGGGGUGAAGUCGUAACAAGGUAACCGUAGGGGAACCUGCGGUUGGAUCACCUCCUU